GAUGAAGAACGUAGCGAAAUGCGAUAAGUAGUGUGAAUUGCAGAAUUCAGUGAAUCAUCGAAUCUUUGAACGCACAUUGCGCCCCUUGGUAUUCCAUGGGGCAUGCCUGUUCGAGCGUCAUUUCAACCCUCAUGCCCCUAGGGCGUGGUGUUGGGGAUCGGCCAAAGCCCGCGAGGGACGGCCGGCCCCUAAAUCUAGUGGCGGACCCGUCGUGGCCUCCUCUGCGAAGUAGUGAUAUUCCGCAUCGGAGAGCGACGAGCCCCUGCCGUUAAACCCCCAACUUUCCAAGGUUGACCUCAGAUCAGGUAGGAAUACCCGCUGAACUUAAGCAUAUCAAUAAGCGGAGGA
RNAcentral lists this unclassified non-coding RNA (348 nucleotides) under soil metagenome. RNAcentral describes it as "partial contains 5.8S ribosomal RNA, internal transcribed spacer 2, and large subunit ribosomal RNA". The stretch from base 1 to 120 matches the Rfam family "5.8S ribosomal RNA", at positions 35 to 154 of the family's 154-position model. The record is from RNAcentral.